UGACCUCAGAUCAGAC
Molecule: ribosomal RNA, 16 nt
Filed under: Trichuris sp. Benin
Lineage: Eukaryota; Metazoa; Nematoda; Enoplea; Trichinellida; Trichuridae
Also listed under: 4 other names
Description: partial 28S ribosomal RNA
Source: RNAcentral